This 2534-nucleotide unclassified non-coding RNA is filed under the name Hevea brasiliensis (rubber tree). Lineage: Eukaryota; Viridiplantae; Streptophyta; Magnoliopsida; Malpighiales; Euphorbiaceae. The record is from RNAcentral.
GGCUUUAAGCUGGCCCAGGUCCUAAUGCCGGUCCGUCCCAUAGGUUGGGUCGUGACAUUUAAAUUUUUAACAUAAUUUAUUAACCGUGUUCGUAUUGAUACAUGAAAUGAACACAAAUCCCACCGCUGAUUUUAAAGUAAAGAAUAAUUCAAUCCAACGAUGGUGCAAUAAUGAAGCUUGGAAUCAAUGAAGUUGGUCAUAGUGAUCAGUGAGUCUAAAGGCACCCUACUGAAACGAAUAAUGUGAAAAAGCUAAAGAAGAAAAAUUAAAAAGAACAAGAACAAUGGGUUCUUAUUUCAUAGGCUACCUAUCUUGAAGAGUAAGUGCAUAAUAUUCUUCUUUUUUUCAUCUUUCAAUUCAUUGAAGAGCACUAAUAUCUGUAAAAGACCACUCUCCGAUCCAAACUUUUACUGUUUAUGUGUCUAUAAAGGGAAGCACACCGCAGGCAAAACCCAAGUUUACUAAUAAAAAGUUAAAAACUUGACGACAAUUUGAAUAAAAAUAUCAAAUAAAUCUAUAUACUUUCGGUUGAGAACAAAAUUUUCUAAUAAGGCCGUAGUAAAAAUAUAUAUAUUAUUUUUAAAAAAUUUUUAAUAAUAAAAUAUUCAGUCUUUGAGUUUAUUUGAAGUUGAGGAAAGGUUGGGAGACUUGUUCUUGACAGGACCACGUAUAAAUUCUCUUCUGGACUCCUUGAAAUCUUGCCCGUCCAGUAACUACUAACCAGCCGCUUCCGUCAUUCUUUUUUGUCACAAACGCUAAAACAGAAAAGAGAUAUCAGCAUCUCAUUGGUCCUUACUCCAUUCACCACUCAAUCCCACUCUUCCUUCCUCUCCAGCCAUGGAAGUUGCAGUACCAGCAACUUCAAUACCCAAGGCUUUUAAUGUCCUUGCAAUUUCCAUUGUCCAAAGAGUAGCUAACCCCACUGCCUUGAUCCCAAUAUGGCCUACCACAAAUCCCAGCGUGCACACUCUUUAUGCCUCAAAUCCUAUCUCAAGAAACAACACCCUUCUCUCCCUCACUCGCUGCUCCACAAGACCAGACACCAACACAAACAAUGGAAGAGGCCAAGAUUCGAGUACUGGCUCAAAUCCUAGUUCAAAACCCCAGAAUUCAUCAACGCCCGUUUCAAACAAUUCACUUUCCUCUUCUUUUCCAUCACCAUCAUUAUCUAAAGGGUUGGUGUUUGAUUUGGGUUCCAUUGAUUCGUGGGAUAGCAAGGAAAUUGGGUCACCAGUGGUGAAAAGGUUCCUUAGCGAUGAGGAAGAGAGAUGGUUCAUGUGGUACCAUGGAAAUUCCAGUAAAAACCCAGAGGUUGAUUCUAUAGGAUUAGCAGUUUCCAACAAUGGCAUUCACUGGGAGAGAGGAGUAGAACCUGUUAGAUCAAGUGGGGAUGUGGGUAUGGUGAUGAAGUGUGGUCAAGAUUGGUGGGCAUUUGACACUAUGAGCAUUAGACCUAGCGACGUGGUUAUCAUGUCAAGCAGUAAAGUCAAAGCGUUAAGUGCUGUGUACUGGCUUUAUUACUCUGGUUUCAGCUCUGAAAAGGUGGAUUUUGUAGAUGAUGAUUCUUUGGAAUUAAAUUUAGAGAACCCAGAAAGGUUUUGCAUUGAUAACAACAAUUAUGGCAGUGGAAAAAUCUUCAAGUCCUUGCCGGGCUUGGCAAUUAGUCAAGAUGGGAGAAAUUGGGCUAGAAUUGAAGGGGAUCAUCACAGUGGAGCUUUGUUUGAUGUGGGUGCUGAGAAAGAAUGGGAUUCCUUGUUUAUUGCUAGUCCGCAAGUUGUUUUUCAUGGAAAUGGUGAUCUUAGGAUGUAUUAUCACUCAUUUGACAUGGAAAAUGGGCAAUUUGCUAUUGGGAUUGCAAGGUCAAGAGAUGGGAUUAAAUGGGUGAAGUUGGGGAAGAUAAUGGGAGGAGGAAAAGUUGGUUCUUUUGAUGAGUGUGGUGUGAUGAAUGCAAGUGUUGUUAGGAGCAAGAAAGGUGGGAAGUAUGUGAUGGCAUAUGAAGGUAUUGCCGCUGAUGGAAAGAGGAGUAUUGGAUUGGCAGUGUCACCUGAUGGAUUAAAAGACUGGAGGAGAUUUCAAGAUGAAGGAGUGCUAAAGCCUUCAGAGAAAGAUGGAUGGGAUAGCAAGGGAAUUGGAUCUCCUUGUUUGGUGCAAAUGGAUGGGGAUGUUGAUGAGUGGAGGCUGUACUACAGAGGAAUUGGCAAUGAAGGAAGGACUGGGAUUGGGAUGGCAUUUUGCUUAGGAAAUGGUAUCAGUAGUUUUCGAAGAUGGACAGGUUUCAAAUUAUAAGAUGAUAUGACAGGGUAUGUCAUCUUCUUCAAUUUUUUUUUUUUAAGAGUUUUCUUACUUUACAUCUCAACUUUAGAUUGGUUGCUCAAUUAGAUGACGCAACAUUUGAUUUACAAUCAUAAAUGAAAUACUGAUUUUUUUUUCUACUCUGUUGAUGUUAUAUGUGAUUACAUUAUUUCUCUUAUUUACAGUUUAGUCUGAAAAUUUUAAGAAUAAACCCAAAUUGGUAUUUUGCUUGAUAAACGUCU